GUGGGGAAUUUUGGACAAUGGGCGCAAGCCUGAUCCAGCAAUGCCGCGUGCAGGAUGAAGGCCCUCGGGUUGUAAACUGCUUUUGUACGGAACGAAAAGCCUGGGGCUAAUAUCCCCGGGUCAUGACGGUACCGUAAGAAUAAGCACCGGCUAACUACGUGCCAGCAGCCGCGGUAAUACGUAGGGUGCAAGCGUUAAUCGGAAUUACUGGGAGUAAAGCGUGCGCAGGCGGUUUUGUAAGACAGGCGUGAAAUCCCCGGGCUCAACCUGGGAAUUGCGCUUGUGACUGCAAGGCUGGAGUGCGGCAGAGGGGGAUGGAAUUCCGCGUGUAGCAGUGAAAUGCGUAGAUAUGCGGAGGAACACCGAUGGCGAAGGCAAUCCCCUGGGCCUGCACUGACGCUCAUGCACAAAAGCGUGGGGAGCAAACAGGAUUAGAAACCCCUGUAGUCC
RNAcentral lists this ribosomal RNA (450 nucleotides) under uncultured bacterium. RNAcentral describes it as "partial 16S ribosomal RNA". It matches the Rfam family "Bacterial small subunit ribosomal RNA", at positions 354 to 796 of the family's 1533-position model. The record is from RNAcentral.